GUGAAUCAUCGAAUUUUUGAACGCAAAUUGCACUCUCUUCGGAGAGUAUGCCUGUUUGAGGGUCAGCCUAAAAAAAAUCGACAUAGUUGCUGUUUCGCGGUGACAUUCGGCGGAAAUUGGGUCAUCUUAAACCGUUCGGUUUUAAGGGGCUUAAAAUAUUCUUUACGAAUCCACGAACGAUUCUAAGAUUUUACUUCUUACACGUUUAAGGUAUCUAUCUUUAUUAGACGUGACU
This 235-nucleotide unclassified non-coding RNA is filed under the name Glomus sp. RNAcentral describes it as "partial contains 5.8S ribosomal RNA and internal transcribed spacer 2". The stretch from base 1 to 65 matches the Rfam family "5.8S ribosomal RNA", at positions 84 to 154 of the family's 154-position model. Lineage: Eukaryota; Fungi; Glomeromycota; Glomeromycetes; Glomerales; Glomeraceae. The record is from RNAcentral.